UNGGAGGUGUCUGCCCAGUCAGCUAACUGAC
RNAcentral lists this non-coding RNA (31 nucleotides) under Rattus norvegicus (Norway rat). Lineage: Eukaryota; Metazoa; Chordata; Mammalia; Rodentia; Muridae. The record is from RNAcentral.